Picea glauca (white spruce) is the source of this 122-nucleotide non-coding RNA. The record is from Rfam. Lineage: Eukaryota; Viridiplantae; Streptophyta; Pinopsida; Pinales; Pinaceae.
GUAUGUACAUUCCUAUAUUGUUAAUGCACUGGAUCACAUUAUAACUCCAUAUUUAAGUGUGCUUGGAAUAUAGUGGUAUUGGGAUGGGUGACCUCCUAGGAAGUAAUGGUGUUUUACAUGCC